GCAUCCGCACAGGUGCUGCAUGGCUGUCGUCAGCUCGUGUCGUGAGAUGUUGGGUUAAGUCCCGUAACGAGCGCAACCCUUGUCCUUAUUUGCCAUCAUUUAGUUGGGCACUCUAGGGAGACUGCCGGUGACAAACCGGAGGAAGGUGAGGAUGACGUCAAGUCAGCAUGCCCCUUAUGUUCUGGGCUACACACGUGCUACAAUGGUUGGGACAAA
This 216-nucleotide ribosomal RNA is filed under the name Madagascaria erythrocladioides. RNAcentral's name for it is "partial Bacterial small subunit ribosomal RNA". It matches the Rfam family "Bacterial small subunit ribosomal RNA", at positions 1026 to 1243 of the family's 1533-position model. Lineage: Eukaryota; Rhodophyta; Compsopogonophyceae; Erythropeltidales; Erythrotrichiaceae. The record is from RNAcentral.